Molecule: ribosomal RNA, 391 nt
Filed under: uncultured bacterium
Lineage: Bacteria
Description: bacterial SSU rRNA
Rfam family: Bacterial small subunit ribosomal RNA
Source: RNAcentral
GACGAACGCUGGCGGCGUGCUUAACACAUGCAAGUCGAGCGGUAAGGCCCUUUCGGGGGUACACGAGCGGCGAACGGGUGAGUAACACGUGGGUGACCUGCCCUCAGCUCUGGGAUAAGCCUUGGAAACCGGGUCUAAUACUGGAUAUGACUCCAUGACGCAUGUUGUGGGGUGGAAAGCCUUGUGCGGCUGAGGAUGGGCCCGCGGCCUAUCAGCUUGUUGGUGGGGUGANGGCCUACCAAGGCGACGACGGGUAGCCGGCCUGAGAGGGCGACCGGCCACACUGGGACUGAGACACGGCCCAGACUCCUACGGGAGGCAGCAGUGGGGAAUCUUGCGCAAUGGGCGAAAGCCUGACGCAGCGACGCCGCGUGAGGGAUGACGGCCUCGG